RNAcentral lists this transfer RNA (88 nucleotides) under Saccharothrix coeruleofusca. Its description in RNAcentral is "tRNA-Ser". Lineage: Bacteria; Bacillati; Actinomycetota; Actinomycetes; Pseudonocardiales; Pseudonocardiaceae. The record is from RNAcentral.
UCGUGCUGGGCGCGGCCGGGAUCGCGCUCGGCCUGCUGCGCCGGGCGCGGCGGCGACGCGCCCGGAUCGCCGCCGGGGAGCCCGAGCC